Molecule: ribosomal RNA, 253 nt
Filed under: uncultured bacterium
Lineage: Bacteria
Description: partial 16S ribosomal RNA
Rfam family: Bacterial small subunit ribosomal RNA
Source: RNAcentral
UACGUAGGGUGCAAGCGUUGUCCGGAAUUAUUGGGCGUAAAGAGCUCGUAGGCGGUCUGUCGCGUCGGCUGUGAAAACCCGAGGCUCAACCUCGGGCCUGCAGUCGAUACGGGCAAACUAGAGUACUGCAGGGGAGACUGGAAUUCCUGGUGUAGCGGUGGAAUGCGCAGAUAUCAGGAGGAACACCGGUGGCGAAGGCGGGUCUCUGGGCAGUAACUGACGCUGAGAAGCGAAAGCGUGGGGAGCGAACAGG